This 273-nucleotide ribosomal RNA is filed under the name uncultured prokaryote. RNAcentral describes it as "partial 16S ribosomal RNA". It matches the Rfam family "Bacterial small subunit ribosomal RNA", at positions 524 to 796 of the family's 1533-position model. The record is from RNAcentral.
UACGUAGGGGGCAAGCGUUGUCCGGAAUUAUUGGGCGUAAAGCGCGUGUAGGCGGCUUGGUAAGUCUGGUGUGAAAUCUUGGGGCUCAACCCCAAGCCUGCAUCGGAUACUGCCUGGCUAGAGUCCGGGAGGGGAGAGCGGAAUUCCCAGUGUAGCGGUGAAAUGCGCAGAUAUUGGGAAGAACACCGGUGGCGAAGGCGGCUCUCUGGAACGGUACUGACGCUGAGACGCGAAAGCGUGGGGAGCGAACAGGAUUAGAAACCCCCGUAGUCC